GACAGAGGGUGCAAACGUUGUUCGGAAUUACUGGGCGUAAAGCGCGUGUAGGCUGCUCGGAAAGUCGGAUGUGAAAGCCCUGGGCUCAACCUAGGAAGUGCAUUCGAAACUUCCGAGCUGGAGUUCUGGAGAGGAAGGCGGAAUUCUCGGUGUAGAGGUGAAAUUCGUAGAUAUCGAGAGGAACACCGGUGGCGAAGGCGGCCUUCUGGACAGUGACUGACGCUGAGGAGCGAAAGCGUGGGGAGCGAACAGG
Molecule: ribosomal RNA, 253 nt
Filed under: uncultured bacterium
Lineage: Bacteria
Description: partial 16S ribosomal RNA
Rfam family: Bacterial small subunit ribosomal RNA
Source: RNAcentral